RNAcentral lists this ribosomal RNA (504 nucleotides) under uncultured bacterium. Its description in RNAcentral is "bacterial SSU rRNA". It matches the Rfam family "Bacterial small subunit ribosomal RNA", at positions 28 to 528 of the family's 1533-position model. The record is from RNAcentral.
GAUGAACGCUAGCGGCAGGCCUAAUACAUGCAAGUCGAACGGAUAUAUGUUUUUCGGAAUAUAUAUUAGUGGCGCACGGGUGAGUAACACGUACAUAACUUGCCCUCAAGCGGGGGAUAGCCUUGGGAAACUGAGAGUAAUACCCCAUAGAAUUAUUGGACGGCAUCGUUUGAUAAUUAAAACUACGGUGUUUGGGGAUAGAUGUGCGUCUGAUUAGCUAGUUGGUGAGGUAACUGCUCACCAAGGCGACGAUCAGUAGGGGGCGUGAGAGCGUGGCCCCCCACACGGGUACUGAGACACGGACCCGACUCCUACGGGAGGCAGCAGUAAGGAAUAUUGGUCAAUGGAGGGAACUCUGAACCAGCCAUGCCGCGUGAAGGAUGACGGCCCUCUGGGUUGUAAACUUCUUUUGGUAUGGGGCGAAAAAACGGGAUUUAUCCUGGACUGACGGUACCAUCAGAAUAAGCACCGGCUAACUCCGUGCCAGCAGCCGCGGUAAAGUAG